CCCCAAAAGACACGUGCAUUCAAAUGCAUGCACACGCAAGAGGAAAGAAGGAAGAUUGCCAUGGUAUGACAUGGCCCCUUGCUAGUAAGUCAAGAAGGGAGGAGAUUAUGGAAGACAAACAAAUUAAUUAAGGAGAAAGAGUUAAAAUGUAUACUCUACAAAAUUGUUGUCACCCAAUUCAAGGUAAAAAUUUAUCUGGCAAAUCUAUGGAUUGCUGUAGCCUGAACUGAUACAGCAACUCAUGACGUCUGAGCAAAGGCAGACCUAGAAGCUGACAAUGUCAAAGGAGAGGAACUACAACUGCAAGAAAUAUCAAAACAAAAAAGUAUUUUAUGCUACAUAAAAAGCCAAAAGGAGUUGAAAAAAACAUUGCAACAGUUCCCACUGAAAACGGACUGCCAGUCAUCAGGAGGUAUCUUUCCUGUCUUCUGUUCUUCUUAGGCAUACACCCCACCCCCCAU
Tachysurus fulvidraco (yellow catfish) is the source of this 461-nucleotide long non-coding RNA. RefSeq lists it as uncharacterized. The transcript has 4 exons. NCBI's taxonomy places the organism in Eukaryota, Metazoa, Chordata, Actinopteri, Siluriformes, Bagridae. The record is from RefSeq and is a predicted model, not a curated record.